UCGAUAAGACAUGCGAGUCAGAGCACUAGCUCGGCAUACCGCUCAGUAACACGUGGGUAACCUGCCCUAUUGUUUCGAAUAACCUCGGGAAACUGAGAACAACACGAGAUAGUCCACUACGCCUGGAACGGUGAGUGGAUAAAGAUAGGAUGGGCCUGCGGCAUAUCAGGUCGUAGGGGGUGUAACGGACCUCCUAGCCAUCGACGCGUACGGGUGUUGGAAGACAUAGCCCGGAGAUGGAUUCUGAGACACGAAUCCAGGCCCUACGGGGCGCAGCAGUUACAAAAACUUGGCAAUGCGGGAAACCGUGACCAGGGAACUCCAAGUGGCUGUCUUUUGGGCAGUCUUUUCUUGACUCUAAAACGGUCUUGGAAUAAGGGGUGGGUAAGGACGGUGCCAGCCGCCGCGGUAAUACCGGCGCCUCAAGUGGUCGUCGCUUUUAUUGGGCCUAAAACGUCCGUAGCCNGUUUGGUACAUUCGUGGGUAAAUCAGCUCCCUCAACGAGCUGAAUUCUGCGAGCACGGCCAGACUAGGGACCGGGAGAGGUGUGGGGAACUCUCAGGGUAGGGGUAAAAUCCUGUCAUCCUGAGAGGAACACCUGUUGCGAAGGCGCCACACUAGAACGGAUCCGACGGUGAGGGACGAAACCU
Molecule: ribosomal RNA, 650 nt
Filed under: uncultured euryarchaeote CA-15_22
Lineage: Archaea; Methanobacteriati; Methanobacteriota
Description: bacterial SSU rRNA
Rfam family: Archaeal small subunit ribosomal RNA
Source: RNAcentral